GUGACUCCUACGGGAGGCAGCAGUGGGGAAUAUUGCACAAUGGGCGCAAGCCUGAUGCAGCAACGCCGUGUGAGUGAAGAAGGUUUCGGAUCGUAAAACUCUGUCCUAAGGGAAGAAACAAAUGACGGUACCUUAGGAGGAAGCCCCGGCUAACUACGUGCCAGCAGCCGCGGUAAUACGUAGGGGGCAAGCGUUAUCCGGAAUCACUGGGCGUAAAGGGUGCGUAGGCGGCUUAGCAAGCCAGGGGUGAAAGGCAUUGGCUCAACCAAUGUAAGCCUUUGGAACUGUUAAGCUUGAGUGCAGGAGAGGUAAGUGGAAUUCCUAGUGUAGAGGUGAAAUUCGUAGAUAUUAGGAGGAACACCAGUGGCGAAGGCGACUUACUGGACUGUAACUGACGCUGAUGCACGAAAGCGUGGGUAGCGAACAGGAUUAGAUACCCUGGUAG
Molecule: ribosomal RNA, 445 nt
Filed under: uncultured bacterium
Lineage: Bacteria
Description: bacterial SSU rRNA
Rfam family: Bacterial small subunit ribosomal RNA
Source: RNAcentral